UGGGGAAUUUUGGACAAUGGGCGCAAGCCUGAUCCAGCCAUGCCGCGUGCGGGAAGAAGGCCUUCGGGUUGUAAACCGCUUUUGUCAGGGAAGAAAUCUUCUGAGUUAAUACCUCGGGAGGAUGACGGUACCUGAAGAAUAAGCACCGGCUAACUACGUGCCAGCAGCCGCGGUAAUACGUAGGGUGCAAGCGUUAAUCGGAAUUACUGGGCGUAAAGCGUGCGCAGGCGGUUUUGUAAGACAGAGGUGAAAUCCCCGGGCUCAACCUGGGAACUGCCUUUGUGACUGCAAGGCUUGAGUGCGGCAGAGGGGGAUGGAAUUCCGCGUGUAGCAGUGAAAUGCGUAGAUAUGCGGAGGAACACCGAUGGCGAAGGCAAAUCCCCCGGGCCUGCACUGACGCUCAUGCACG
This 409-nucleotide ribosomal RNA is filed under the name uncultured bacterium. RNAcentral describes it as "partial 16S ribosomal RNA". It matches the Rfam family "Bacterial small subunit ribosomal RNA", at positions 355 to 755 of the family's 1533-position model. The record is from RNAcentral.